This 305-nucleotide ribosomal RNA is filed under the name uncultured bacterium. Its description in RNAcentral is "bacterial SSU rRNA". It matches the Rfam family "Bacterial small subunit ribosomal RNA", at positions 338 to 639 of the family's 1533-position model. The record is from RNAcentral.
CCUACGGGGGGCAGCAGUGAGGAAUAUUGGUCAAUGGGCGCGAGCCUGAACCAGCCAAGUCGCGUGAGGGGUGACGGCCCUACGGGUUGUAAACCUCUUUUGCCGGGGAGCAACGGGCGCCACGCGUGGCGCCACUGAGAGUACCCGGAGAAAAAGCAUCGGCUAACUCCGUGCCAGCAGCCGCGGUAAUACGGAGGAUGCGAGCGUUAUCCGGAUUUAUUGGGUGUAAAGGGAGCGCAGGCGGCUUGGCAAGUCUGAUGUGAAAGGCUGGGGCUCAACCCCAGGACUGCAUUGGAAACUGUUAG